RNAcentral lists this ribosomal RNA (107 nucleotides) under uncultured bacterium. RNAcentral describes it as "partial 16S ribosomal RNA". It matches the Rfam family "Bacterial small subunit ribosomal RNA", at positions 1367 to 1482 of the family's 1533-position model. The record is from RNAcentral.
UACGUUCCCGGACCUUGUACACACCGCCCGUCAAGCCAUGGAAGUUGGGAGGACCUGAAGACAGUUGCUGUAAGGCACUGUUUAGGGUUAAACCGAUGACUGGGGCU